AGUGGACGCUGGCGGUAGGCCUAACACAUGCAAGCCGAACGGCAGCACAGUAAGAGCUUGCUCUUACGGGUGGCGAGUGGCGGACGGGUGAGGAAUACAUCGGAAUCUACUUUUUCGUGGGGGAUAACGUAGGGAAACUUACGCUAAUACCGCAUACGACCUACGGGUGAAAGCAGGGGAUCUUCGGACCUUGCGCGAUUGAAUGAGCCGAUGUCGGAUUAGCUAGUUGGCGGGGUAAAGGCCCACCAAGGCGACGAUCCGUAGCUGGUCUGAGAGGAUGAUCAGCCACACUGGAACUGAGACGCGGUCCAGACUCCUACGGGAGGCAGCAGUGGGGAAUAUUGGACAAUGGGCGCAAGCCUGAUCCAGCCAUACCGCGUGGGUGAAGAAGGCCUUCGGGUUGUAAAGCCCUUUUGUUGGGAAAGAAAAGCAGCAGGUUAAUACCCCGCUGUUCUGACGGUACCCAAAGAAUAAGCACCGGCUAACUUCGUG
Molecule: ribosomal RNA, 492 nt
Filed under: uncultured bacterium
Lineage: Bacteria
Description: partial 16S ribosomal RNA
Rfam family: Bacterial small subunit ribosomal RNA
Source: RNAcentral